Molecule: ribosomal RNA, 253 nt
Filed under: uncultured bacterium
Lineage: Bacteria
Description: partial 16S ribosomal RNA
Rfam family: Bacterial small subunit ribosomal RNA
Source: RNAcentral
UACGUAGGGGGCAAGCGUUAUCCGGAUUUACUGGGUGUAAAGGGAGCGUAGACGGCAGUGCAAGUCUGAAGUGAAAGGCGGGGGCCCAACCCCCGAACUGCUUUGGAAACUGUGCUGCUGGAGUGCAGGAGAGGCAAGUGGAAUUCCUAGUGUAGCGGUGAAAUGCGUAGAUAUUAGGAGGAACACCAGUGGCGAAGGCGGCUUGCUGGACUGUAACUGACGUUGAGGCUCGAAAGCGUGGGGAGCAGACAGG